GUAGGUGGCAAGCGUUGUCCGGAAUUAUUGGGCGUAAAGCGCGCGCAGGCGGUUCUUUAAGUCUGAUGUGAAAGCCCACGGCUCAACCGUGGAGGGUCAUUGGAGACUGGAGAACUUGAGUACAGAAGAGGAAAGCGGAAUUCCACGUGUAGCGGUGAAAUGCGUAGAGAUGUGGAGGAACACCAGUGGCGAAGGCGGCUUUCUGGUCUGUAACUGACGCUGAGGCGCGAAAGCGUGGGGGGAGCAAACAGGAUUAGAUACCCUGGUAGUCCACGCCGUAAACGAUGAGUGCUAAGUGUUAGGGGGUUUCCGCCCCUUAGUGCUGCAGCUAACGCAUUAAGCACUCCGCCUGGGAGUACGGCCGCAAGGCUG
This 372-nucleotide ribosomal RNA is filed under the name uncultured organism. RNAcentral describes it as "partial 16S ribosomal RNA". It matches the Rfam family "Bacterial small subunit ribosomal RNA", at positions 527 to 896 of the family's 1533-position model. The record is from RNAcentral.